CUUGAUUAACAUGUGAGCGUCCCAGAUUUUAUUCACCAUUUCGCCACAUUUAAUCCGCUUCCUCCCCAGCUUUCUCAAAGCCAGCACUGUGCCAAGAUCACCCAUUAUAGAUGUCAAUCAGCUCUGGUACGACUGCACAGAACACAUCUACAGGGACAGGAUGAAAUGUGGGAGUGAAAAGAAAUGCACUGGAUGGUCAUGUGAUUGCUUCCGGUUGAAAAGCGGCGCCUCGUUGAUCAUUCGAUCCCUUUUGUUGUUGUGGUAGUGAAUGGAGGGUCUGACAACAAUAUGGAGAGAGUGCAGGAUACCUUAUACUGGAAUGGGGGCCAGGCCUUUAAAAUUGGAGAAGGGGGACUCUUACUGACAAGAAUAGAGAGGGAAUGAAAGAAUGGUUGGAUAAUUGAGAGGCAGGUCAUGGAGGGUGGAUAUAUUGUACGCAUCAGACAACAACCCAAACUCCAAGAAAAGUCUGUGAAAAUAGGUCACAAUUUGCACUGUAAUAUAUAUAGAUAAAUAGAUGGAUGGAUGGAUGGAUAGAUAGAUAGAUAGAUAGAUAGAUAGAUAGAUAGAUAGAUAGAUAGAUAGAUAGAUAGAUAGAUAGAUAGAUAGAUAGAUAGAAUUUGCAAAUAAAGAUGUUUUACAUUAUGCAUUGUUUUUGUUUUAGUGUUGAAGAAAAUGUCUGUAAACAUUUUCAAUAACAGUAAUUUAAAAAUUUUCUACAGAUUUUAGAGUGCGUAAAAGAAAAAAAGUGAUUACAUCUGUGUCUGUUUUCACUGAGGCUGUCAAUUUAACACUACUUUAUUAUGAUGCUAAUAUAUAAAAAUAUUAAAAGUAACAGUUAAUCAAUUGUUACUCCUUGUGUUCAAGAAAAACUGAAAUAGUUUCCUAUAAAACAUAAUCCAGUGAUAUUUGUUUUAUUUGCAAUCGGUUUUUAUUAGGCCUCUUAAUUUUCCUUAAUGUGAGAAAUUCAACAGAUCAUCAGUCACAACUCCAAGGUUUCUGGCUGUUUUUGAAGGAGUUAUAGUUGAUGUGGCUAACUGGAUGGUGAAAUUAUGAUGAAGUGAUUGGUUUGUUGACAUCACAAGCAGUUCUUUCUUGGCAAGGUUGAGUUGAAGUUGAUGGUCCUUCAUCCAGCAAGAAAUGUCUGUUAGACAUGUUUUGAUGUAAGCAGCUAUCGUCGAAUCAUCAGGAUGGAACGAGAGGUAGAGUUGAGUGUCAUCAGCCUAGCAGAGAUAUGAAAAGCCAUGUUUCUGAAUGACAGAAUAUAGUAAUGCCAUGUAGACAAAGAAGAUAAGUGGUCCAAGAACUGAGCCCUGAGGCACCCCAGUAGCUAGUUGUUGUGACUUGGACACCUCACCCCUCCAAGACUCAGGAUUGUGGUUCCUGAGAUGCCCUUUGCCAAUAUAGGGUUGACAGGGGGAACUGGUAGUUAACCGUGUCAAAAGCAGCCGACAGAUACAGCAAGAUAAGUAUUGAAGAUUUAGAAGCAACUCUUGCCAGUCUUAGGGCUUCGACAACUGAGAGCAAGGCAGUCUCGCUUCAAUGUCCACUUCUGAAGCCAGACUGCUUGCUGUUUAGGAAGGUUAAAAACAAAAACAAAAACUUCUU
Cyprinus carpio carpio is the source of this 1608-nucleotide long non-coding RNA. NCBI's taxonomy places the organism in Eukaryota, Metazoa, Chordata, Actinopteri, Cypriniformes, Cyprinidae. The record is from Ensembl.